RNAcentral lists this transfer RNA (70 nucleotides) under Aedes aegypti (yellow fever mosquito). It matches the Rfam family "tRNA". Rfam says of the family: Transfer RNA (tRNA) molecules are approximately 80 nucleotides in length. Their secondary structure includes four short double-helical elements and three loops (D, anti-codon, and T loops). Further hydrogen bonds mediate the characteristic L-shaped molecular structure. tRNAs have two regions of fundamental functional importance: the anti-codon, which is responsible for specific mRNA codon recognition, and the 3' end, to which the tRNAs corresponding amino acid is attached (by aminoacyl-tRNA synthetases). tRNAs cope with the degeneracy of the genetic code in two manners: having more than one tRNA (with a specific anti-codon) for a particular amino acid; and 'wobble' base-pairing, i.e. permitting non-standard base-pairing at the 3rd anti-codon position. Lineage: Eukaryota; Metazoa; Arthropoda; Insecta; Diptera; Culicidae. The record is from Rfam by way of RNAcentral.
GACUCGGUAGCUAGUUGGUAAAGCAGUCGUCCAGCAUACAAGAGUCGUGGGUUUGAUUCCCACCUGAGCA